UACCAGCACCCCGAGUGGUCGGGACGAUUAUUGGGCCUAAAGCAUCCGUAGCCGGUCCUAUAAGUCUUCCGUUAAAUCCACCUGCUUAACAGAUGGGCUGCGGAAGAUACUAUAGGGCUAGGAGGCGGGAGAGGCAAGCGGUACUCAGUGGGUAGGGGUAAAAUCCUCUGAUCCAUUGAAGACCACCAGUGGCGAAGGCGGCUUGCCAGAACGCGCUCGACGGUGAGGGAUGAAAGCUGGGGGAGCAAACCGG
This 253-nucleotide ribosomal RNA is filed under the name uncultured bacterium. RNAcentral's name for it is "partial 16S ribosomal RNA". It matches the Rfam family "Archaeal small subunit ribosomal RNA", at positions 474 to 727 of the family's 1478-position model. The record is from RNAcentral.